CUGGCGGUAUGCUUAACACAUGCAAGUCGAACGGCAGCAUGACAGAGCUUGCUCUGUUGAUGGCGAGUGGCGGACGGGUGAGUAACACUUAGGAAUCUAUCCAGUAGCUGGGGAUAACGUGGGGAAACUCACGCUAAUACCGAAUACGCACUACGGUGGAAAGAGGGGGAUCUUCGGACCUCUCACUAUUGGGUGAGCCUAAGCCGGAUUAGCUAGUUGGUGGGGUAAUGGCCUACCAAGGCGACGAACCGUAGCUGGUCUGAGAGGACGAUCAGCCACACUGGGACUGAGACACGGCCCAGACUCCUACGGGAGGCAGCAGUGGGGAAUAUUGGACAAUGGGGGCAACCCUGAUCCAGCAAUACCGCGUGUGUGAAGAAGGCCUGCGGGUUGUAAAGCACUUUCAGUAGGGAAGAAAGGUUUGGUGUUAAUAGCGCCAGGAUUUGACGUUACCUACAGAAGAAGCACCGGCUA
This 474-nucleotide ribosomal RNA is filed under the name Granulosicoccaceae bacterium UGC1-7. RNAcentral describes it as "bacterial SSU rRNA". It matches the Rfam family "Bacterial small subunit ribosomal RNA", at positions 36 to 499 of the family's 1533-position model. Lineage: Bacteria; Pseudomonadati; Pseudomonadota; Gammaproteobacteria; Chromatiales; Granulosicoccaceae. The record is from RNAcentral.